This 87-nucleotide transfer RNA is filed under the name Treponema pallidum subsp. pallidum str. Chicago. Its description in RNAcentral is "tRNA-Tyr". It matches the Rfam family "tRNA". From Rfam's summary of the family: Transfer RNA (tRNA) molecules are approximately 80 nucleotides in length. Their secondary structure includes four short double-helical elements and three loops (D, anti-codon, and T loops). Further hydrogen bonds mediate the characteristic L-shaped molecular structure. tRNAs have two regions of fundamental functional importance: the anti-codon, which is responsible for specific mRNA codon recognition, and the 3' end, to which the tRNAs corresponding amino acid is attached (by aminoacyl-tRNA synthetases). tRNAs cope with the degeneracy of the genetic code in two manners: having more than one tRNA (with a specific anti-codon) for a particular amino acid; and 'wobble' base-pairing, i.e. permitting non-standard base-pairing at the 3rd anti-codon position. Lineage: Bacteria; Pseudomonadati; Spirochaetota; Spirochaetia; Treponematales; Treponemataceae. The record is from RNAcentral.
UGGGGAGUUUCCCGAGUGGUCAAAGGGAGCAGACUGUAAAUCUGUUGGCGUUGUCUUCCAAGGUUCGAAUCCUUGACUCCCCACUUU